AGAGUUUGAUCAUGGCUCAGAUUGAACGCUGGCGGCAGGCUUAACACAUGCAAGUCGAACGGUAACAGAACUAGCUUGCUAGUUGCUGACGAGUGGCGGACGGGUGAGUAACGCGUAGGAAUCUACCGAAUAGUGGGGGACAACAGUUGGAAACGGCUGCUAAUACCGCAUACGCCCUACGGGGGAAAGGAGGGGAUCUUCGGACCUUUCGCUAUUUGAUGANCCUGCGUGAGAUUAGUUAGUUGGUGGGGUAAUGGCUCACCAAGGCGACGAUCUCUAGCUGGUCUGAGAGGAUGAUCANCCACACUGGGACUGAGACACGGCCCAGACUCCUNCGNCAGCCACCAGUGGGGAAUAUUGCACAAUGGGGGAAACCCUGAUGCAGCCAUGCCGCGUGUGUGAAGAAG
This 407-nucleotide ribosomal RNA is filed under the name uncultured bacterium. Its description in RNAcentral is "bacterial SSU rRNA". It matches the Rfam family "Bacterial small subunit ribosomal RNA", at positions 8 to 413 of the family's 1533-position model. The record is from RNAcentral.